ACUAGAUCGGCAUCGAACUAGUAUUAAAGGAGCGAAUGCUCCGCUACUGGAUGGACUCGCGGUGCAUUAGCUAGUUGGUGAGGUAGAGGCUCACCAAGGCGAUGAUGCAUAGCCGACCUGAGAGGGUGAACGGCCACAUUGGGACUGAGACACGGCCCAGACUCCUACGGGAGGCAGCAGUUAGGGGAAUUUUCGUCAAUGGGGGAAACCCUGAACGAGCAAUGCCGCGUGAGUGAAGAAGGGAUUUCGGUCU
This 253-nucleotide ribosomal RNA is filed under the name uncultured Bacillota bacterium. RNAcentral's name for it is "uncultured Firmicutes bacterium partial 16S ribosomal RNA". It matches the Rfam family "Bacterial small subunit ribosomal RNA", at positions 180 to 424 of the family's 1533-position model. Lineage: Bacteria; Bacillati; Bacillota. The record is from RNAcentral.